RNAcentral lists this long non-coding RNA (489 nucleotides) under Cotesia glomerata. Its description in RNAcentral is "uncharacterized LOC123258448, transcript variant X1". The record is from RNAcentral. Lineage: Eukaryota; Metazoa; Arthropoda; Insecta; Hymenoptera; Braconidae.
UGAGUUUAACGCACGUUGAAGUUUACGAUCAUUUUCAUAUAAUGAAUUUGUUAAAACAAUAAUGCAAUAGUCAAUUAGGGGUAAAAUAGUUGCUGAGACUAGAAGUUUUUUUAUAUUAGCAGUGUAAAUAUUUUUACGUAGUUUCAGACUAUAUAAUGCAGAGUUUAUUUUGCUUACUGUUUUUGCAACAUGAAAAUUCCAAGAUAGAUCACUCGAUAAAUGGAGUCCAAGACACUUAGCCGAGUCCGUAUACGGGAGUGUCACACCAUCAAUGAUGAUAGGGGAAGAUUUACUUCUAAGCCAUUCUCUCUGGCCCAAUCAGCAACAGCUUGGGCAUCAACAUUUAUCAGCCUUAUUGCUUCAUGGAGCUGAUACGAAUAGAAAUGUCCUAGGACCGAGCCUUGAGGAACACCAGACGUGGUUUCAACAAAACCCACCGGAAUCCCUUGUUCAUCUACCACUGACUGACUCCUAUUAGUCAGAUAUGAA